This is an RNA transcript of Musca domestica (house fly), 6446 nucleotides long. RefSeq lists it as uncharacterized. The transcript is spliced from 7 exons. The record is from RefSeq and is a predicted model, not a curated record. NCBI's taxonomy places the organism in Eukaryota, Metazoa, Arthropoda, Insecta, Diptera, Muscidae.
UUGGUAUCUUUGCUUUCUUCGCAAUUGUUAGAAAGAGAAGAAUCUCGAUUCGAUUUUUUCUCUCACAGCAAUAGAACAAUAUAAAACUUCAUAAUUUUGCGAGCGAAUUAAUGUAUAUUUCCCAUUUCCGGUCCAACUAAGCAAUGAACAUCCACCAACACUAAAGCGACAUCUAUGAAUGGCUAGGCCAGGCUAAUGGUUCCUAACAACAGACGAGCCUGAUAGCAGCAAUGUUGCUGGACGAGAUGUUGCAUAAACAUUGAAGGACCAAAACCACAAAUUGUUGCCAACAACCCCAGACAACAACUCUACUAACUGUAUUCGAAACGGAUUGUCUUAAAUUAAAAUAAACGAACGAAUUAAUUGGAUACAUAUAAGGAUAACAGAAUAAACCGGAAAGCAUAUCAAAAGAAAUCGAAACCAUUUAGAAAAACCCCCUAAGAACUAUACACAGGAAUAGAAAAGGAUUUGUGGCUAAUUUAAGUGAUACGACUUAACUAUUCACACACACAUAUUACAAUAGUCACAUUAUAAGACUAAUAAACGCACAAAGGAUAUUUCACGCCAAACCCUGGACACAUCUACAUUAUUCAUACACAAAGUAUAUUCUCAGAGAGGCCAACACAAGUCAGACUAGGAUCUUUGCAAUCCAUUAAAAACCCCCCAUCAAAAUAUGACAUCAUAUGCCACAUUACGCGACAAUUUAAGGUCGCGUGAGGAAGACCUAACAUCCCAUUCUAAUUCUGCAACACCCUCGACUCCACCACCAGAAGAUUUAGCCACGGCGGCACGUACGAAAAAAAUAGCCGCACCCCUGACCCCUGAUUCCUUUUCGGAAAGUGAACGCGAGAAAAUGGACUCAACGCCGGAGAAUAUAAAAAAGAUCGAUGAUGUCAUUAAUGAUCACCAUCUACAUCAUUCAAAUCAACAAGCGGACGGUGGUUUGUCGCCCCGUUCAGAACGCUAUUCAUCAAGUUUUGUACCAAUUGGCCUGGCUGCAGCUGUAGACGAUUCAAAUGCUAAACUCUGUCCAAAAGGAAUGUUUACUGGUAAAAGCGGCAGCGGCAGUAACAAAGAUACAAAAACAGCAACAAAUUGCACCAGUGAAGUUGAUAACAAAAAUGAUGAAGACGAGGAAAAGUGUAGUACGGAUUCAACACGACAACAGCGAACAGCAGUUACGGCGGCAGGUAUAGACGAAUCGACACGCGUCCAACAAAACGAUCAAGACGAUAAUGAUGAGUCAAUAUCGUCAUCGAAUGGCGGUACUACUAUGACAACGUCAGCUAGGCAAUCGUUGGCUUUUACAAUUGACAAUUUCAACGAUAAGGAAUGUGAUGCUGCCGCACAGGCGGCAAAAUACAAAAGUAUGAUGGAACGUUUUCAAAAUCGGCAUCGUCGCGGUGCCUCCAUGUCAAAAUUGGAGAACGAUGAGUCAGGCAAAGCUCAGACACCUACACGCCUAACAAGCUCACAGUCUUCAACGCCGUUAACAAACACCAGAUCAUCUGCCCGUAGCUCGGUGACAAGUGAAGAAAACAAUGCAAAUUCAUUGGACUCGGACGCGUCUGCCCCACAAAAGGUUAAACUGCGAGUGCGUGAUCGCAGCACAUCGCGUGUACGCGAUGCCUCAAAGCGCCACAGCUGGUCGCCACGUUCAAGCACAAAUGAAAAUACUCUCCAAACUCCUCAGUCGCAGACAUCAACAACGGCCACUUCAGCUAACUCAACAGCACUUCCACGUAAAACCACCACAAAAACUGCAAACAAACCGGCCCCAACACAAGUUCCCAAAGGUGCUGCCAAUCUUGUGGCUAAUCGUACUCAGUUUACACCACGAUCUACUGCCAUGCAAUUGGCUUUGAAGCAAAUUGAUUAUAUGUGUCCACAACCGCCACUGGCCGACUUUAAGCAUCUAAAUGCCGAUGCCGAUGAUGUCAGUGAAGCUGGCACGUAUACCUUGGACGGUGAUAAUUAUACUGAAGAACAAAAGGAUAUUAUGAACAUAGAUAAAUAUGGCCAAAGCACGCUUCCAACAACAACUACAAAUAAAUGCCGUCCUAAAGAACUUGAUGCCAUUACUCCUACACCGAAACAACGACAAAGUAUAGAAUCGAAAAGAUCCAACAAUGUAUUGGAGGUAAACUAUUAUCAUGAUGCUGAAGGUCCGGAACAGAUGACGAAGGCACGCACAAAUACAGCACCCUCGGAUCUUAUAAUGGGUUCACAUCAAUCAGCCGGAGCUUAUUUGGAGAAGAUCAAAUCAAGAGUGUUGCGCAACAUGAACGCCACUAAGCAAAUUGCCGAUACUAAGCAGGAAAUAUUGAAACCUAAGUUAUCCAAUGAUGACGAUGACAGUGAAGUUGAUACCGGUUGUUUUACCAGUGUAACAACUAGUGGCGUCUUGGCUAAACAAAGAACCCUGGAUGCCCAUCCCAAACUGUCAAGACACAGCGGAUUGUCCACAUCCCAAAUUGAUAGUUCCGAAUAUGUGAGCAAUGAAACAAAACUGAAAACUUCUGGAACGCCACCCUCAUUUGCUAGUGGAUACACCGAUCAUCAAAAAGCUGAAUAUCGUCUUAAUGUCUUUACUAAUCAAAAGGAUGCAUCACAAAAAUUCGCCGCUACAAGAAAUCUAAUUGAAACGCCACCGGAGACACCAACAGGACCCCAACCUACUUCUAAGUUAAGUGAGGUUGCUGUUUUACAGACAGCGCAAACGAAACAUGACUGGAUACAGGAAUGGGCUCGUAACGCUCGGGCGAGAAGCUUGGCAAAUGACCGACACAGUACUGGGGCGAGACAAUCUAACAACGAUAUGUUGAUGACUCGAUCAUACACCUGUGCCGACACAGGCAAUGACUCACUUACAGAUGACAGUCUUUAUAGUGCAAAUUGUAAACAGUUUAAUGCUAAGCUGAAUCGCACUUUGGCGGAUCGUUAUCGCAUAUCAGGUGGUAAUGGUGACUGUGAUUAUGCCAGCGAUCCUUCCCUGGCAAGUUCUUGUACAAAGCCACCUAAAAGUCCAACAAAGAUUCCAUCGCCGCUCCAUACAUUGGGCCGAGCUCGCAGUGCCAGUCGCACAAGAGCAUCCUUGCAAAAUGUUAUGCCUCCAGACGAAGAAGAUUAUUUGCAGCAAACAGCUGCAGCCAUAAAUAACUUGCAACAAAGUCUGUCACGGAAAAAUUCUCUUAAGUCGCCCUCCCAUUCAGGUUCACCUCGUGCCCAUUCCGCACGUUCACAUAUCAUGUAUUCCCCUGAAGGUACUGGUGUUGAGUGCAGUCCUCAACACAGUCUUAAUUCACAACGACAGCAACGCCAAGCCACACAGAAUUUGAUGACGAGCAGUAUUAAUGAGCAGCAGUUGCAAUUGUUGACUAGUGGAGAAUAUCUGCUGCGACAGAUGCGUAUGCGUAAGAACUCCUUUGAUGGCAACCUUAACGGUUCGCCACAUCGGAGAGUCUUGCAAGCUGGUGUUCCGCCACAAGUACAGUCGCCGACUACUCCAACUGCUCCGACAAACGAGGAAUCACUAUCGCCACUACGAAGAUCAAGUUCUUUCUCGGCUCGAGUGGCAGCCACUCAAAAGUCAGGUCGUCCCAACUUCCAGAACUUGUACACUCCUCCAGCGGCUCGCCAUAGUUAUGGUCUUAGUCCAGCACCACCACAACAAACCUCCAUUCAGCCAGGGAAUCCUAUUAAGAAAUCGGCCAGUAGCAACAAUUUUGGUCAAGCCUACAGUGAUUAUGACGACAACUUACAGUAUUACAUUAACGACGAAGAUGACCAGGAUGAUAUGGGUGAGGAAUACUAUUCUAGUGGUGGAGAUGAUAAUAUAGAACAGGAACCAGGUUAUUAUGACGAUGCAGAACCAGAAAACAAUGUCCCUUUGUCAAAUACUAGAUACAAUAAGGCUUUGUUAAUGCGUAUUGAGCGCAGCAAGCAAAAAGUUGCGGGCAAACCUCAAUCCGCACCUCCUACAAAGCCAUCUAUGUUACUGGCUGGAGGUGGCGUUAUGGCAUGUCCUAAUACUCCGGAGUUACCUCGAAGAAAUGUUAAAAGCGCAACCACUCGGUCUACUAUGGCCUCACAACGUCAGUCCAUGCCACGAGAUACUAGUCUUAGUCGCCUAGCACAACAGGUGCCCAACUCAUUGGCUUCAGCCAAGAAACAACUAUUACAAACUGCUGCCAAUGUACCAUCAUCCACUGCUACAACGCAACGUUCCACAUCUAGUCAACGGGCCACGCCACGCUAUUUAGAUAUUUCGAAAUACAAACCCGCCCAAAGUAAUCAUUUCUUACGUAAAAAUGAUGCCAAAAGUACUCUUAAGCCACAAACAAAUUCGAAUGAAAUUAUGAAACGUAGUCCUAGCAGUUCGUCGAUGGGCCUUUCGCGUACUGAUCCCUCUAGGACCAGUAAUCGCUCAGUACGUUCGGCCAGUUCUGCAAUGACCAGUAGUGUAACCUCACUGGGAGGUAGUAAUGCCAGAGCUUCUUCGGCAGUUAGAAGAGAUGCCUCAGUAUCUAAACAAAAGGAAGCCGAAAUGGCAAUGUGGAAACGUAGAUCCAAAUAUGAUCCCAUGAAAGCUGCUGCCGAAGAUCGACGUAAAAAAGAAGAAGCUAAACGUUUGGCUCAAGCUCAACAAAUGGGCGUUGUUGGUAUGCCAACUGAGAGACAAUCGAGGUCUCUUUACCGUCGAGGGCAAUUAUGACCGGAGGGGUUGCUUGUGACAGAUCUCUAAACAGAUCCUCUGAGAUUUGUAACGAAAUUAUACACGAUCUUUGAAUAAAAUAAAAACCAUGAGUUCUUAUAGUCGUCGAUGUCUUCUGUCAACGACUACGAUCAAGAUAUUACAGAACACACAAACAAAAAAAUAUAUAGACCAUGUACUAACAUCGAAAUACGAAAUGAAAACAUAUAAAGCCCCAUUUUAUAUUAUGAACAAAAAAAUUAAAUAACGAAACGGUGAUUGUAACACUAAAUGCAUACAAUGUUGAAAAAUAUAAACUAAAAAAAUCAUGGUAUACGGUUUAGUGUUUUACUAAUUAACCACUUUAAUUAAAAUCAAGUAAAAAAAAUAUAAAAUACAAGUCAUACUUAUGUAGAACGUAAAUAGACAAAGUGCAAUUACAAUAUAUAUAAUCAAAAUAUAUAUGAUUUGGUAAAAACGACGCCUACGACGAAUACGUACAACGACAGACAUUUAUACUUGGCAGACCAUAUGUCUCUGCCAAUUACCGCGUCCCACAAUGACAACGUAUCGAAUAUAAAACGAACGAUCCUUGGAACAGCAAUGGUCUAUAGAAGAAUCUGGAGAUUAUGAUGAGGAUGAAUGUGUCUAAGCGAGGGCUCCUGGACGCUUAUUUCAGACAUCAGAAACCUAACUAAAAAUUCCUGUAAUAUUUUUAAAUAUAAUGCUUUAUAUUUUGGAAAUGAAAAAGCUUAGAGUAAGACUUUUUUGUUUUGUAUAACAUAAGAAAGAGAAGAAACAAAUAUACAACGUGAUAUAGCUUACCUUAAACAAUGAAUGGAAAUUAGAAAACCAGAAACAAACGUUCAGUGACCGAUCGGUCAAACGUUGAACAUUACACAAUGAUGAGGAUUAGGAUUUGUAUGAUUACAUUUUAUGCAAACAACUAGCGUAGAAUAUACAGAAAUAUAUAUUGUUAAAUGGAGGAAAGCACAUUUGUCCUAUUCUACUGUUACUAACAAACAAAACAUAAAAUUAUAUUCGAUAGAAAGUCGUUUUUGUAUAAUUUUAACUUCAUCUAUGUAUAUUUUUAUAUGAAUAUUAAACAUGUAUUUUAUUUAUAUAUAAAUCUAGAUUAUUUACGCAUUCGUUUGUGUAGAACGAAUACCUAGCAGAGAACUAUUCUCGAUUUAGUUAUGGUGAUUUCAAAUUUGAAUUUGUAAUUUGUUGAACAUUAUUUGAUACCUUUCUCUAUAUUAUCAUCAUCACAGCAAUGCUUAACUAUAAAAUUAUAACAGAAUUUUAGCUUAUAAAUGCAACUGUAUUGCUUAGAUAUUAAACAAAGAAAUUGAAGAAAGAUUAUCGUAUAUUUUUAACAAUUUUGUAUUGUUAAAACAAAAUUAAUAGAACUGAACAAUGCGUUGUAACGUGUUAUACUUUUCUGAAAGCAAAAGCAAAAACAAAACAAAAAACGCCCCAAAUAAUGUUGUGAAAUCAAUUUUAAUUUAGAUUUAUAUAUUUUUAGUUACUCUAUUCUCUAUAUAAAUUAAUUUUAUUAAAAUUUAUCCUUAAAUGGUACUAAUACUCAAAAAUAAAAUAAUUUAAUAAUAAUUACAAAAAAUAUCAAGAUAUCUUACCGUAUAUGAAAAAUAUUGAAAAUCAAACCAACUGUAUUUUCCCGAAGAACGUAAAAUUGUAGAGUCUGAACAAGAUUUGAGUUUUAUUUUAAAUAAAUAAAUGGAAUUGUGAGAAA